This 342-nucleotide ribosomal RNA is filed under the name Rhodococcus wratislaviensis IFP 2016. Its description in RNAcentral is "bacterial SSU rRNA". It matches the Rfam family "Bacterial small subunit ribosomal RNA", at positions 1 to 344 of the family's 1533-position model. The record is from RNAcentral. Lineage: Bacteria; Bacillati; Actinomycetota; Actinomycetes; Mycobacteriales; Nocardiaceae.
UCUUCAACGGAGAGUUUGAUCCUGGCUCAGGACGAACGCUGGCGGCGUGCUUAACACAUGCAAGUCGAGCGGUAAGGCCCUUCGGGGUACACGAGCGGCGAACGGGUGAGUAACACGUGGGUGAUCUGCCCUGCACUUCGGGAUAAGCCUGGGAAACUGGGUCUAAUACCGGAUAUGACCUUCGGCUGCAUGGCUGAGGGUGGAAAGGUUUACUGGUGCAGGAUGGGCCCGCGGCCUAUCAGCUUGUUGGUGGGGUAAUGGCCUACCAAGGCGACGACGGGUAGCCGACCUGAGAGGGUGACCGGCCACACUGGGACUGAGACACGGCCCAGACUCCUACGG